UGGGGAAUAUUGCACAAUGGGCGCAAGCCUGAUGCAGCCAUGCCGCGUGUAUGAAGAAGGCCUUCGGGUUGUAAAGUACUUUCAGCGAGGAGGAAGGCGGUAAGGUUAAUAACCUUAUCGAUUGACGUUACUCGCAGAAGAAGCACCGGCUAACUCCGUGCCAGCAGCCGCGGUAAUACGGAGGGUGCAAGCGUUAAUCGGAAUUACUGGGCGUAAAGCGCACGCAGGCGGUAUGUCAAGUCGGAUGUGAAAUCCCCGGGCUCAACCUGGGAACUGCAUUCGAAACUGGCAGGCUAGAGUCUUGUAGAGGGGGGUAGAAUUCCAGGUGUAGCGGUGAAAUGCGUAGAGAUCUGGAGGAAUACCGGUGGCGAAGGCGGCCCCCUGGACAAAGACUGACGCUCAGGUGCGAAAGCGUGGGGAGCAAACA
Molecule: ribosomal RNA, 427 nt
Filed under: uncultured bacterium
Lineage: Bacteria
Description: partial 16S ribosomal RNA
Rfam family: Bacterial small subunit ribosomal RNA
Source: RNAcentral